RNAcentral lists this ribosomal RNA (826 nucleotides) under Triticum aestivum (bread wheat). RNAcentral's name for it is "partial small subunit ribosomal RNA". The record is from RNAcentral. Lineage: Eukaryota; Viridiplantae; Streptophyta; Magnoliopsida; Poales; Poaceae.
GGCAAAGAUUAUUUUUCAUUUAAAAAAAAGUGACAAAACUCGCUGGACACAUGAACAUCAAACUAAGACAACAGGUUCUGCACGGCGUGCUGCCUUUCAUUCAUCAUAGAUGGCGUUACAGAGAAGAAACAAAGCUGUCCUCAAAAUUUACACAAAGGACCCUAAAAAGUAAAAAAAAGCAAUCGAGUCCUUCUCCACUUCAACAACAUGGCCUUCACCGCCGGCCGUCCUUCUUCUGCCGCCGCCUUGCCCUGCUCGUUGCGCCGCUCGCCAGGCAACCGCCAAGUUGCGCAGCCGCCCGGCCAUGCUCGCCGCGCAGCUACACGGCCCAACUCGCUCGCGCCUUGCUAGCGCCGACUGCCCGCGCGUUGCUCGCAGCAGCCUCCUGCGCCAGCUGCCCUGCCCGCACCGGCCUGCACCGGCCGUGCCUUGGUCUCCGAACCGCCGCCCGGCCAUGCUCACCGCACGGCCCUGCUCGCCCACGCCCUGCUACCGCCGCCCGCCCGCGCGUCACUGGCAGCAGCCUCCCGCACCGCACGCCCGCACGUCGCUCGCAGCCCGCAGCGGUCGUGCCCUCCUCGUGCCGCCCGCCUCGCUGGUUCCACGAGAUAGAGAGAGAGGAUUCAGAGAGGGAGCGAAGCAGAGGAAGGGGAGGUCUGACGCCUGCCAGCGGCGGCAGGUGGUUCGCUGGCCGGAGGGCCGAUGCUGGUGGCGCCGGCGAGUCAAUCGAUCGGGAGGUCAGAGGUGAGCGAGCUGGAUGCACAGGCGAGAGAGAGAAAGGUACGAGAGAGACAGAGAGAACGUAGGGUGGGUGGGCUACUACGAG